Molecule: unclassified non-coding RNA, 244 nt
Filed under: Hevea brasiliensis (rubber tree)
Lineage: Eukaryota; Viridiplantae; Streptophyta; Magnoliopsida; Malpighiales; Euphorbiaceae
Source: RNAcentral
CUAACUCCCUCCUUUACCAAUUACAUACAAAGGAAAGGAAAGUACAGGAAAGGGACUUUCCUUCCUUUGAUCCAAGAACCAGACUCAUUCCCAUCCAUCUUCAAGAUACCGGGAUUCAACUGAGAUGGCANNNNNNNNNNAUCACCUACAACGCCACUUUCUGCGCGUGCCCACCUGGCCGCCUUCUCAACCGCACCUCCAACACCUGCUCUCUGUUCACUGCUAGCUCUGCCAUUUACACCGC